AUUCUUAUAGUGUAAGUAACACAUUACAUUUUCAUUGUAAAACUAAAGGUCAAGCCCUUUUAAUAAUA
RNAcentral lists this transfer RNA (68 nucleotides) under Typhlopatsa pauliani. Its description in RNAcentral is "tRNA-Glu". It matches the Rfam family "tRNA". From Rfam's summary of the family: Transfer RNA (tRNA) molecules are approximately 80 nucleotides in length. Their secondary structure includes four short double-helical elements and three loops (D, anti-codon, and T loops). Further hydrogen bonds mediate the characteristic L-shaped molecular structure. tRNAs have two regions of fundamental functional importance: the anti-codon, which is responsible for specific mRNA codon recognition, and the 3' end, to which the tRNAs corresponding amino acid is attached (by aminoacyl-tRNA synthetases). tRNAs cope with the degeneracy of the genetic code in two manners: having more than one tRNA (with a specific anti-codon) for a particular amino acid; and 'wobble' base-pairing, i.e. permitting non-standard base-pairing at the 3rd anti-codon position. The record is from RNAcentral. Lineage: Eukaryota; Metazoa; Arthropoda; Malacostraca; Decapoda; Atyidae.